Molecule: ribosomal RNA, 428 nt
Filed under: uncultured bacterium
Lineage: Bacteria
Description: bacterial SSU rRNA
Rfam family: Bacterial small subunit ribosomal RNA
Source: RNAcentral
UGGGGAAUAUUCCGCAAUGGACGAAAGUCUGACGGAGCAACGCCGCGUGAGUGAUGAAGGUUUUCGGACUGUAAAGCUCUGUUGUUUAGGACGAAAGUGCCUGCUGCAAACAGUUGCAGGUAUUGACGGUACUGAACGAGGAAGCCACGGCUAACUACGUGCCAGCAGCCGCGGUAAUACGUAGGUGGCAAGCGUUGUCCGGAAUUAUUGGGCGUAAAGAGCAUGUAGGCGGGAAUCUAAGUCUGUUGUGAAAAUGCGGGGCUCAACCCCGUAUGGCGAUGGAAACUGGAUUUCUUGAGUGCAGGAGAGGAAAGGGGAAUUCCCAGUGUAGCGGUGAAAUGCGUAGAUAUUGGGAGGAACACCAGUGGCGAAGGCGCCUUUCUGGACUGUGUCUGACGCUGAGAUGCGAAAGCCAGGGUAGCGAACGG